AGAGUUUGAUCCUGGCUCAGGAUGAACGUUGGCGGUGUGCCUAAUACAUGCAAGUCGAACGGAGUCAGUAGCAAUAUUGGCUCAGUGGCGAACGGGUGAGUAACGCGUUGGUGAUCUGCCUUGAAGUGUGGAAUAACGUUUCGAAAGAGACGCUAAUACCGCAUGUGCUCUCGAUUUUUAGAAAGUUGAGAGUAAAGGAUUUAUUCGCUUCAAGAGGAGCCUGCGUCCCAUCAGCUGGUUGGUAGGGUAACGGCCUACCAAGGCUAUGACGGGUAGGGGACCUGAGAGGGUGGCCCCCCACAAUGGAACUGAAACACGGUCCAUACACCUACGGGUGGCAGCAGUAGGGAAUAUUAGAAAUGGACGAAAGUCUGAUCUAGCAACACCGCGUGUGCGAAGAAGGCCUUCGGGUCGUAAAGCACUUUUUGGAAGGAAUAGGAAGGAAUGUACUUCCAGAAUAAGUCUCGGCUAACUACGUGCCAGCAGCCGCGGUAACACGUAGGAGGCAAACGUUAUCCGGAUUUACUGGGCGUAAAGCGCGUGUAGGUGGUACUGUAAGUAGGGCGUGAAAGCUCCUGGCUCAACUGGGAGAGGCCGUUCUAAACUACAGAACUAGAGGAUGGUAGAGGGAGGUGGAAUUCC
This 642-nucleotide ribosomal RNA is filed under the name uncultured bacterium. Its description in RNAcentral is "bacterial SSU rRNA". It matches the Rfam family "Bacterial small subunit ribosomal RNA", at positions 8 to 670 of the family's 1533-position model. The record is from RNAcentral.